UAGUUGUAGGUGCAGUUCUGUCAAGUG
This 27-nucleotide small RNA is filed under the name Bombyx mori (domestic silkworm). RNAcentral's name for it is "ovarian small RNA-23191". Lineage: Eukaryota; Metazoa; Arthropoda; Insecta; Lepidoptera; Bombycidae. The record is from RNAcentral.